GAUGAACGCUGGCGGCGUGCCUAAUACAUGCAAGUCGAGCGAAUGGAUUAAGAGCUUGCUCUUGUGAAGUUAGCGGCGGACGGGUGAGUAACACGUGGGUAACCUGCCCAUAAGACUGGGAUAACUCCGGGAAACCGGGGCUAAUACCGGAUAACAUUUUGAACCGCAUGGUUCGAAAUUGAAAGGCGGCUUCGGCUGUCACUAAUGGAUGGACACGCGUCGCAUUAGCUAGUUGGUGAGGUAACGGCUCACCAAGGCAACGAUGAGUAGCCGACCUGAGAGGGCGAUCGGCCACACUGGGACUGAGACACGGCCCAGACUCCUACGGGAGGGAGCAGUAGGGAAUCUUCCGCAAUGGACGAAAGUCUGACGGAGCAACGCCGCGUGAGUGAUGAAGGCUUUCGGGUCGUAAAACUCUGUUGUUAGGGAAGAACAAGUGCUAGUUGAAUAAGCUGGCACCUUGACGGUACCUAACCAGAAAGCCACGGCUAACUACGUGCCAGCAGCCGCUGUAA
Molecule: ribosomal RNA, 515 nt
Filed under: uncultured bacterium
Lineage: Bacteria
Description: partial 16S ribosomal RNA
Rfam family: Bacterial small subunit ribosomal RNA
Source: RNAcentral